GGCAAAGUGGCUUAAUGGUAGAGUGCUUGCCUAGCAUGCAUGAAGUCCUAGGUUUGAUUCCUCAGUACCA
Molecule: transfer RNA, 70 nt
Filed under: Dipodomys ordii (Ord's kangaroo rat)
Lineage: Eukaryota; Metazoa; Chordata; Mammalia; Rodentia; Heteromyidae
Rfam family: tRNA
About the family: Transfer RNA (tRNA) molecules are approximately 80 nucleotides in length. Their secondary structure includes four short double-helical elements and three loops (D, anti-codon, and T loops). Further hydrogen bonds mediate the characteristic L-shaped molecular structure. tRNAs have two regions of fundamental functional importance: the anti-codon, which is responsible for specific mRNA codon recognition, and the 3' end, to which the tRNAs corresponding amino acid is attached (by aminoacyl-tRNA synthetases). tRNAs cope with the degeneracy of the genetic code in two manners: having more than one tRNA (with a specific anti-codon) for a particular amino acid; and 'wobble' base-pairing, i.e. permitting non-standard base-pairing at the 3rd anti-codon position.
Source: Rfam by way of RNAcentral